AUUGAACGCUAGCGGGAUGCUUUACACAUGCAAGUCGAACGGCAGCGCGGACUUCGGUCUGGCGGCGAGUGGCGAACGGGUGAGUAAUGUAUCGGAACGUGCCCAGUAGCGGGGGAUAACUACGCGAAAGCGUAGCUAAUACCGCAUACCCCCUACGGGGGAAAGCAGGGGAUCGUAAGACCUUGCACUAUUGGAGCGGCCGAUAUCGGAUUAGCUAGUUGGUGAGGUAACGGCUCACCAAGGCGACGAUCCGUAGCUGGUUUGAGAGGACGACCAGCCACACUGGGACUGAGACACGGCCCAGACUCCUACGGGAGGCAGCAGUGGGGAAUUUUGGACAAUGGGGGCAACCCUGAUCCAGCCAUCCCGCGUGUGCGAUGAAGGCCUUCGGGUUGUAAAGCACUUUUGGCAGGAAAGAAACGUCGCGGGCUAAUACCCCGUGGAACUGACGGUACCUGCAGAAUAAGCACCGGCUAACUACGUG
Molecule: ribosomal RNA, 484 nt
Filed under: uncultured bacterium
Lineage: Bacteria
Description: partial 16S ribosomal RNA
Rfam family: Bacterial small subunit ribosomal RNA
Source: RNAcentral